RNAcentral lists this ribosomal RNA (405 nucleotides) under uncultured bacterium. RNAcentral's name for it is "bacterial SSU rRNA". It matches the Rfam family "Bacterial small subunit ribosomal RNA", at positions 370 to 772 of the family's 1533-position model. The record is from RNAcentral.
AAUGGACGCAAGUCUGACCCAGCCAUGCCGCGUGCAGGAUGACGGCCCUAUGGGUUGUAAACUGCUUUUGUACGGGAAAAAACCCCUGGUUGCGACCAGGGCUGAUGGUACCGUAAGAAUAAGCAUCGGCUAACUCCGUGCCAGCAGCCGCGGUAAUACGGAGGAUGCAAGCGUUAUCCGGAUUCAUUGGGUUUAAAGGGUCCGCAGGCGGGACAAUAAGUCAGAGGUGAAAUCCUACGGCUCAACUGUAGAACUGCCUUUGAUACUGUUGUCCUAGAGUGUAGUUGAGGUGGGCGGAAUAUGUCAUGUAGCGGUGAAAUGCUUAGAUAUGACAUAGAACACCGAUCGCGAAGGCAGCUCACCAAGCUACUACUGACGCUCAGGGACGAAAGCGUGGGGAUCAAA